UUCGAUAUCGCAGUUCAGCGGG
Molecule: microRNA, 22 nt
Filed under: Heligmosomoides polygyrus
Lineage: Eukaryota; Metazoa; Nematoda; Chromadorea; Rhabditida; Heligmosomidae
Description: hpo-miR-10026-3p
Source: miRBase by way of RNAcentral